RNAcentral lists this ribosomal RNA (497 nucleotides) under uncultured bacterium. RNAcentral's name for it is "partial 16S ribosomal RNA". It matches the Rfam family "Bacterial small subunit ribosomal RNA", at positions 28 to 507 of the family's 1533-position model. The record is from RNAcentral.
GACGAACGCUGGCGGCGUGCCUAAUACAUGCAAGUAGAACGCUGAAGAGAGGAGCUUGCUCUUCUUGGAUGAGUUGCGAACGGGUGAGUAACGCGUAGGUAACCUGCCUUGUAGCGGGGGAUAACUAUUGGAAACGAUAGCUAAUACCGCAUAACAAUGGAUGACACAUGUCAUUUAUUUGAAAGGGGCAAUUGCUCCACUACAAGAUGGACCUGCGUUGUAUUAGCUAGUAGGUGAGGUAAUGGCUCACCUAGGCGACGAUACAUAGCCGACCUGAGAGGGUGGUCGGCCACACUGGGACUGAGACACGGCCCAGACUCCUACGGGAGGCAGCAGUAGGGAAUCUUCGGCAAUGGGGGCAACCCUGACCGAGCAACGCCGCGUGAGUGAAGAAGGGUUUCGGAUCGUAAAGCUCUGUUGUAAGUCAAGAACGGGUGUGAGAGUGGAAAGUUCACACUGUGACGGUAGCUUACCAGAAAGGGACGGCUAACUACGUG